This 914-nucleotide ribosomal RNA is filed under the name uncultured bacterium. RNAcentral describes it as "bacterial SSU rRNA". It matches the Rfam family "Bacterial small subunit ribosomal RNA", at positions 33 to 938 of the family's 1533-position model. The record is from RNAcentral.
ACGCUGGCGGCAGGCUUAACACAUGCAAGUCGAACGGUAACAGGGAUUAGCUUGCUAAUUUGCUGACGAGUGGCGGACGGGUGAGUAAUGCUUGGGCAUCUGGCUUAUGGAGGGGGAUAACUACGGGAAACUGUAGCUAAUACCGCGUAAUAUCGGAAGAUUAAAGGGUGGGACUUUCGAGCCACCUGCCAUAAGAUGAGCCCAAGUGGGAUUAGGUAGUUGGUUAGGUAAAGGCUGACCAAGCCGACGAUCUCUAGCUGGUCUGAGAGGAUGACCAGCCACACUGGAACUGAGACACGGUCCAGACUCCUACGGGAGGCAGCAGUGGGGAAUAUUGCACAAUGGGGGGAACCCUGAUGCAGCCAUGCCGCGUGAAUGAAGAAGGCCUUCGGGUUGUAAAGUUCUUUCGGUGACGAGGAAGGUUGAUAGGUUAAUAGCCUAUCAAAUUGACGUUAAUCACAGAAGAAGCACCGGCUAACUCCGUGCCAGCAGCCGCGGUAAUACGGGGGGUGCGAGCGUUAAUCGGAAUAACUGGGCGUAAAGGGCACGCAGGCGGUGACUUAAGUGAGAUGUGAAAGCCCCGAGCUUAACUUGGGAGUUGCAUUUCAUACUGGGUCGCUAGAGUACUUUAGGGAGGGGUAGAAUUCCACGUGUAGCGGUGAAAUGCGUAGAGAUGUGGAGGAAUACCGAAGGCGAAGGCAGCCCCUUGGGAAUGUACUGACGCUCAUGUGCGAAAGCGUGGGGAGCAAACAGGAUUAGAUACCCUGGUAGUCCACGCUGUAAACGAUGUCGAUUUGGGGAUUGGGCUUUGAGCUUGGUGCCCGUAGCUAACGUGAUAAAUCGACCGCCUGGGGAGUACGGCCGCAAGGUUAAAACUCAAAUGAAUUGACGGGGGCCCGCACAAGCGGUGGAGC